AUGAAUUGCAUAUCAUGGAACUGCCGCGGCCUUGGGAACCCGGAGACAGUUCGAGAACUUCACGAUUUGGUGAAGAGAGAAGCUCCCUCCCUAGUCUUUGUAUCGGAGACAGAGAUUGAGGGAAGAAGGGUUAGUGAUCUCACUGGCCGGCUUGGUUUUGAGGGUUGCUAUCCUGUCAAUACUGAUGGCCUCAGUGGAGGACUAGCAUUGUUUUGGUCCAAUAAAGUAGAUGUUACUCUUAAUAAUUUUUCAGAUCAGCAUAUUGAUGUUUCAGUUACGAAUUUAGUUGGUGACAAUAAGAAGUGGCGGUUUACGGGUUUCUAUGCAAAAGCUAGACGAAGUGAACAUGCAAAAAGUUGGAACUUGUUGCGAUGGUUGAAGGCUCAAAGUGAUGCCCCAUGGCUUUGUGGGGGUGAUUUUAAUGAAAUCUUGGACAAUGCAGAAUACUUUGGAGCUCAUGAUCGCCCUGAGUGGUAG
This 477-nucleotide ribosomal RNA is filed under the name Triticum aestivum (bread wheat). RNAcentral's name for it is "partial small subunit ribosomal RNA". Lineage: Eukaryota; Viridiplantae; Streptophyta; Magnoliopsida; Poales; Poaceae. The record is from RNAcentral.